Molecule: non-coding RNA, 1328 nt
Organism: Cicer arietinum (chickpea)
Lineage: Eukaryota; Viridiplantae; Streptophyta; Magnoliopsida; Fabales; Fabaceae
Source: RefSeq, a predicted model, not a curated record
AUUCGGUUCAUGCUCUUUUAUGUUUGGGGAUGCCAAUUUGUGGCAAUGCAUUGUGCUUAAGUUAUGUAAUUCUCAUAGUUUAUCCAUUGUGUUUGCUAUGAUUGUUUGGUCCUUCCAAUUAUGUCAAUUUUAAGGUAGUGGAUUGUGGUGUUGAUACUACUACUGUGUAUUCGAUUGUGUUACAUAGACUUACAAAAUAAACACUAGAGAAAUAGUCUGAGAUGUGCUGAUCGCGGUGUUGUCAAGCAAUUCUUCUGUAAUAUGUCAACCCCCAAGAUUUAAGAGAUCAUUCGCAAUUAAAAUCGAGGCCACAUAACUAGUGAGCAUAAUUUUGCAUUAUAAGCGUAAGAAAAACGUUUACAAAAAUAACAUAUAGAAAAAUUCACUUCCCACAUCUCAAAAUACCUAGAAAGUCCAUUUUACUAUUUAUAAAGUUGAAAAAUUUCUUUUCACCUUACUUCUUCAUUAACUCAUUCGAAACAUUCAAAACUUUUGCCAAAAAUUUCUAACAACUAGAAAUUUUUUGAAACAUAAGUGAGUUUUUGUGAACUUUCGAACUUUUAAAAUGCAAUUUUUCAACAAUAUUUUGAAUGUUUUGUUCAUUUUGAAACUUUUGAAAUACUAUUUUCGAGAUAUUUUCAAAAGUUUCAAAACAUGUUAAAAGUUCUGAAAUGAAAUUUUUUUUAGAAAAUGAAAUUAUCAAAAGUUUUGAUAAACAUGAAACAUUCGAAACUUCUAGAUUUAUUAGUUUUGAAACUUUCAUAAAUGGAGAAAUUAUUUGCACUAGUCCGCAAUGUAACCGAAAAAGUUCCACCUAAGGUAUCUAAUUGACGAAUGUAUAAGGCUAACCAUCCACCCUAUCCACAUCGCCGACAAGACACACACUCGAGUCUAGGCGAAGUAUGUUAGUUUAUUCACCAAUUUUGAGCAUUGUCAAGACUAUACAUAGAGUGCAUCGGCAUUGGUUGUGCUUAAUGACAAUCUCAGACAUCGAGCUAUUCAUGACACGAGGCAAUUUGGAGGAUAUAUAAGCAUGUUCCAGUGUUGGAUUUACAAGCACUUUUCUAAAAUCUAUAAGCGAGGGGACAAUGGAAGUGUACCUAAACAUACUCACAGAGCUUGUACGUGGACUGUCAAACAUGUUGUCGAAGGUGGAUUAAUAGUGUAUUGACUGACGCUUGAUGAUGUAGUAUUCACACAAUACAAUGAUGACUGGGUCAACUGAUGACAAUGGACUCGGGCUAUCUUUGUGGAUCCAGAGUUUCAAUCCCUUAUCUAUUGACUGCAUUCAAUGUGCGAUGUUCCUUUUGUGUCAACUAGUAUAGAUU